UACGGAGGGUGCAAGCGUUACUCGGAAUCACUGGGCGUAAAGGGCGCGUAGGCGGCCUAGCAAGUCUGGUGUGAAAGCCCAGGGCUCAACCCUGGAAGGGCACUGGAAACUGUUAGGCUUGAGUUCCGGAGAGGAGGGGGGAAUUCCCGGUGUAGCGGUGAAAUGCGUAGAUAUCGGGAGGAAUACCGGUGGCGAAGGCGCCCCUAAGGACGGAAACUGACCCUGAGGCGCGAAAGCGUGGGGAGCAAACAGG
This 253-nucleotide ribosomal RNA is filed under the name uncultured bacterium. Its description in RNAcentral is "partial 16S ribosomal RNA". It matches the Rfam family "Bacterial small subunit ribosomal RNA", at positions 524 to 776 of the family's 1533-position model. The record is from RNAcentral.